RNAcentral lists this ribosomal RNA (253 nucleotides) under uncultured bacterium. Its description in RNAcentral is "partial 16S ribosomal RNA". It matches the Rfam family "Bacterial small subunit ribosomal RNA", at positions 524 to 776 of the family's 1533-position model. The record is from RNAcentral.
UACGUAGGGUCCGAGCGUUGUCCGGAAUUAUUGGGCGUAAAGGGCUCGUAGGCGGUUCGUCACGUCGGGAGUGAAAACUCGGGGCUUAACCCCGAGCCUGCUUCCGAUACGGGCAGACUAUAGGUAGGCAGGGGAGAGCGGAACUCCUGGUGUAGCGGUGGAAUGCGCAGAUAUCAGGAAGAACACCGGUGGCGAAGGCGGCUCUCUGGGCCUUACCUGACGCUGAGGAGCGAAAGCGUGGGUAGCGAACAGG